Molecule: ribosomal RNA, 394 nt
Filed under: Octopus tankahkeei
Lineage: Eukaryota; Metazoa; Mollusca; Cephalopoda; Octopoda; Octopodidae
Description: partial 16S ribosomal RNA
Source: RNAcentral
GGGCCUGCUCGGUGAUUUAUAUUUAACAGCUGCGGUAUUAUAACUGUACUAAGGUAGCAUAGUAAUUUGCCUUAUAAAUUAAGGCUAGAAUGAAUGGUUUGACGAAAAUUAAUCUGUCUCUAUUUUAUUUACUAGAAGUUAAUUUUUAUAGUGAAAAAGCUUAAAUGAUUUAAAGGGACGAAAAGACCCUAUUGAGCUUAUAUUAAUAAUUAAUAUAAAUAAAUAAAUAUAUUAAGUGAGUUAAUUUUGGUUGGGGUGAUCAAGGAAUAAAAGUAGUAUUAUAUAAUAACUUCCUUAAUUUUAUAAUUUUGUUGAGUAAUAAACCAAAUAUUUUUGCUUAUAUGAUAAGUUACCAUAGGGAUAACAGCGUAAUUUUUUUUGAGAGUUCAUAUUG